RNAcentral lists this ribosomal RNA (1012 nucleotides) under Bacillus sp. S6.1.1. RNAcentral's name for it is "bacterial SSU rRNA". It matches the Rfam family "Bacterial small subunit ribosomal RNA", at positions 56 to 1054 of the family's 1533-position model. The record is from RNAcentral. Lineage: Bacteria; Bacillati; Bacillota; Bacilli; Caryophanales; Bacillaceae.
UGCAAGUCGAGCGAACAGAAGGGAGCUUGCUCCCGGAUGUUAGCGGCGGACGGGUGAGUAACACGUGGGUAACCUGCCUGUAAGACUGGGAUAACUCCGGGAAACCGGAGCUAAUACCGGAUAGUUCCUUGAACCGCAUGGUUCAAGGAUGAAAGACGGUUUCGGCUGUCACUUACAGAUGGACCCGCGGCGCAUUAGCUAGUUGGUGGGGUAAUGGCUCACCAAGGCGACGAUGCGUAGCCGACCUGAGAGGGUGAUCGGCCACACUGGGACUGAGACACGGCCCAGACUCCUACGGGAGGCAGCAGUAGGGAAUCUUCCGCAAUGGACGAAAGUCUGACGGAGCAACGCCGCGUGAGUGAUGAAGGUUUUCGGAUCGUAAAGCUCUGUUGUUAGGGAAGAACAAGUGCGAGAGUAACUGCUCGCACCUUGACGGUACCUAACCAGAAAGCCACGGCUAACUACGUGCCAGCAGCCGCGGUAAUACGUAGGUGGCAAGCGUUGUCCGGAAUUAUUGGGCGUAAAGGGCUCGCAGGCGGUUUCUUAAGUCUGAUGUGAAAGCCCCCGGCUCAACCGGGGAGGGUCAUUGGAAACUGGGAAACUUGAGUGCAGAAGAGGAGAGUGGAAUUCCACGUGUAGCGGUGAAAUGCGUAGAGAUGUGGAGGAACACCAGUGGCGAAGGCGACUCUCUGGUCUGUAACUGACGCUGAGGAGCGAAAGCGUGGGGAGCGAACAGGAUUAGAUACCCUGGUAGUCCACGCCGUAAACGAUGAGUGCUAAGUGUUAGGGGGUUUCCGCCCCUUAGUGCUGCAGCUAACGCAUUAAGCACUCCGCCUGGGGAGUACGGUCGCAAGACUGAAACUCAAGGAAUUGACGGGGGCCCGCACAAGCGUGAGCAUGUGGUUUAUUCGAAGCAACGCGAAGAACCUUACCAGUCUUGACAUCCUCCUGACAACCCUAGAGAUCGGGCUUUCCCUUCGGGGACCGAGUGACAGGUGGAGCAGGGUGGGGG